This 828-nucleotide ribosomal RNA is filed under the name uncultured Staphylococcus sp. Its description in RNAcentral is "bacterial SSU rRNA". It matches the Rfam family "Bacterial small subunit ribosomal RNA", at positions 67 to 881 of the family's 1533-position model. The record is from RNAcentral. Lineage: Bacteria; Bacillati; Bacillota; Bacilli; Caryophanales; Staphylococcaceae.
CGGACGAGAAGCUUGCUUCUCUGAUGUUAGCGGCGGACGGGUGAGUAACACGUGGAUAACCUACCUAUAAGACUGGGAUAACUUCGGGAAACCGGAGCUAAUACCGGAUAAUAUUUUGAACCGCAUGGUUCAAAAGUGAAAGACGGUCUUGCUGUCACUUAUAGAUGGAUCCGCGCUGCAUUAGCUAGUUGGUAAGGUAACGGCUUACCAAGGCAACGAUGCAUAGCCGACCUGAGAGGGUGAUCGGCCACACUGGAACUGAGACACGGUCCAGACUCCUACGGGAGGCAGCAGUAGGGAAUCUUCCGCAAUGGGCGAAAGCCUGACGGAGCAACGCCGCGUGAGUGAUGAAGGUCUUCGGAUCGUAAAACUCUGUUAUUAGGGAAGAACAUAUGUGUAAGUAACUGUGCACAUCUUGACGGUACCUAAUCAGAAAGCCACGGCUAACUACGUGCCAGCAGCCGCGGUAAUACGUAGGUGGCAAGCGUUAUCCGGAAUUAUUGGGCGUAAAGCGCGCGUAGGCGGUUUUUUAAGUCUGAUGUGAAAGCCCACGGCUCAACCGUGGAGGGUCAUUGGAAACUGGAAAACUUGAGUGCAGAAGAGGAAAGUGGAAUUCCAUGUGUAGCGGUGAAAUGCGCAGAGAUAUGGAGGAACACCAGUGGCGAAGGCGACUUUCUGGUCUGUAACUGACGCUGAUGUGCGAAAGCGUGGGGAUCAAACAGGAUUAGAUACCUGGUAGUCCACGCCGUAAACGAUGAGUGCUAAGUGUUAGGGGGUUUCCGCCCCUUAGUGCUGCAGCUAACGCAUUAAGCACUCCGCCUGGGGAGU